AGCGAACGCUGGCGGCAGGCCUAACACAUGCAAGUCGAACGAUCCUUCGGGAUAGUGGCGGACGGGUGAGUAACACGUGGGAACGUGCCCUUUGGUUCGGAACAACUCAGGGAAACUUGAGCUAAUACCGAAUGUGCCCUUCGGGGGAAAGAUUUAUCGCCAUUGGAGCGGCCCGCGUCUGAUUAGCUAGUUGGUGAGGUAAUGGCUCACCAAGGCGACGAUCAGUAGCUGGUCUGAGAGGAUGAUCAGCCACCCUGGGACUGAGACACGGCCCAGACUGCUACGGGCGGCAGCAGUGGGGAAUCUUGAGCAAUGGGCGAAAGCCUGACGCAGCCAUGCCGCGUGAAUGAUGAAGGUCUUAGGAUUGUAAAAUUCUUUCACCGGUGACGAUAAUGACGGUACCCGGAGAAGAAGCUCCGGCUAACUUCGUGCCAGCCGCCGCAGUAA
Molecule: ribosomal RNA, 447 nt
Filed under: uncultured bacterium
Lineage: Bacteria
Description: partial 16S ribosomal RNA
Rfam family: Bacterial small subunit ribosomal RNA
Source: RNAcentral